RNAcentral lists this ribosomal RNA (253 nucleotides) under uncultured prokaryote. Its description in RNAcentral is "partial 16S ribosomal RNA". It matches the Rfam family "Bacterial small subunit ribosomal RNA", at positions 524 to 776 of the family's 1533-position model. The record is from RNAcentral.
UACGAAGGGGGCUAGCGUUGCUCGGAAUCACUGGGCGUAAAGCGCACGUAGGCGGCUUACUAAGUCAGGGGUGAAAUCCUGGAGCUCAACUCCAGAACUGCCUUUGAUACUGAUUGUCUUGAGUACGGGAGAGGUGAGUGGAACUCCGAGUGUAGAGGUGAAAUUCGUAGAUAUUCGGAAGAACACCAGUGGCGAAGGCGACUCACUGGCCCGUUACUGACGCUGAGGCGCGAAAGCGUGGGGAGCAAACAGG